This 523-nucleotide ribosomal RNA is filed under the name uncultured fungus. RNAcentral describes it as "SSU rRNA". It matches the Rfam family "Eukaryotic small subunit ribosomal RNA", at positions 569 to 1092 of the family's 1831-position model. The record is from RNAcentral. Lineage: Eukaryota; Fungi.
AGCAGCCGCGGUAAUUCCAGCUCCAAUAGCGUAUAUUAAAGUUGUUGCAGUUAAAAAGCUCGUAGUUGAAUUUCGGGAUCGACGGGUCGGUCGCGCCUCUGGUGUGUACUGGCCCUGUCGGUUUCUCCCUUCUGACGAACUGCGAUGUCAUUAAUUUGGUGUCGUAGGGAAUCAGGACUGUUACUUUGAAAAAAUUAGAGUGUUUAAAGCAGGCAUUCGCUUGAAUACAUUAGCAUGGAAUAAUGAAAUAGGACGUUUGACCUUAUUUUGUUGGUUUCUAAGAUCGACGUAAUGAUUAAUAGGGAUAGUUGGGGGCAUUAGUAUUCAAUUGUCAGAGGUGAAAUUCUUGGAUUUAUUGAAGACUAACUACUGCGAAAGCAUUUGCCAAGGAUGUUUUCAUUAAUCAAGAACGAAAGUUAGGGGAUCGAAGACGAUCAGAUACCGUCGUAGUCUUAACCAUAAACUAUGCCGACUAGGGAUCGGAUGAUGUUAAUUUUUUAAUGUACUCAUUCGGCGCCUUAAC